This 497-nucleotide ribosomal RNA is filed under the name uncultured bacterium. RNAcentral's name for it is "partial 16S ribosomal RNA". It matches the Rfam family "Bacterial small subunit ribosomal RNA", at positions 28 to 507 of the family's 1533-position model. The record is from RNAcentral.
GAUGAACGCUGGCGGCGUGCCUAAUACAUGCAAGUCGAGCGAACAGACGAGGAGCUUGCUCCUCUGACGUUAGCGGCGGACGGGUGUGUAACACGUGGAUAACCUACCUAUCAUACUGGGAUAACUUCGGGACACCGGAGCUAAUACCGGAUAAUAUACUGAACCGCAUGGUUCAAUAGUGAAAGACGGUUUUGCUGUCACUUAUAGAUGGUUCCGCGCCGCAUUAGCUAGUUGGUAAGGUAACGGCUUACCAAGGCAACCAUGCGUAGCCGACCGGAGAGGGGGAUCGGCCGCACGGGAACGUGAACACGGACCCGGCGCCUGCGGGAGGGAGCAGUAGGGAAUCGUACGCAAUGGGCGAAAGCCUGGCGGAGCAGCGCCGCGUGAGUGAUGGAGGUCUUCGGAUCGUGAAGCUCUGUUAUUAGUGAAGAACAAAUGUGUAAGUAACUAUACACGUCUUGACGGUACCUAGUCAGAAAGCAACGGCUAACUACGUG